Molecule: non-coding RNA, 73 nt
Organism: Cricetulus griseus (Chinese hamster)
Lineage: Eukaryota; Metazoa; Chordata; Mammalia; Rodentia; Cricetidae
Source: Rfam
ACCCAGCUCUUUUAGUUGGUAGAGCAUAAGACUCUUAAUCUCAGGGUCAUGGGUUCAUUCCCCAUGUAGGGUG